GUAGGUGGCAAGCGUUGUCCGGAAUUAUUGGGCGUAAAGCGCGCGCAGGCGGUUUUUUAAGUCUGAUGUGAAAGCCCACGGCUCAACCGUGGAGGGUCAUUGGAAACUGGAGAACUUGAGUACAGAAGAGGAAAGCGGAAUUCCACGUGUAGCGGUGAAAUGCGUAGAGAUGUGGAGGAACACCAGUGGCGAAGGCGGCUUUCUGGUCUGUAACUGACGCUGAGGCGCGAAAGCGUGGGGAGCAAACAGGGAUUAGAUACCCUGGUAGUCCACGCCGUAAACGAUGAGUGCUAAGUGUUAGGGGGUUUCCGCCCCCUAAGUGCUGCAGCUAACGCAUUAAGCACUCCGCCUGGGGAGUACGGCCGCAAGGCUG
This 373-nucleotide ribosomal RNA is filed under the name uncultured organism. RNAcentral describes it as "partial 16S ribosomal RNA". It matches the Rfam family "Bacterial small subunit ribosomal RNA", at positions 527 to 896 of the family's 1533-position model. The record is from RNAcentral.